This 475-nucleotide ribosomal RNA is filed under the name uncultured bacterium. Its description in RNAcentral is "bacterial SSU rRNA". It matches the Rfam family "Bacterial small subunit ribosomal RNA", at positions 915 to 1391 of the family's 1533-position model. The record is from RNAcentral.
GGGGGCCCGCAAGCGGUGGAGCAUGUGGUUCAAUUCGACGCAACGCGAAGAACCUUACCUGGGCUCGAACGGCUCACGAAAGUCUUUGGAAACAGAGAUUUCCCGCAAGGGACGGGAGUCGAGGUGCUGCAUGGCUGUCGUCAGCUCGUGUCGUGAGAUGUUGGGUUAAGUCCCGCAACGAGCGCAACCCUUGUCCUGUGUUACCAUGCCGAAAGGCGGCACUCGCAGGAGACCGCCAGCGAUAAGCUGGAGGAAGGUGGGGAUGACGUCAAGUCCUCAUGGCCUUUAUGUCCAGGGCUACACACGUGCUACAAUGGGCGGUACAAAGCGCUGCUAAGCCGCAAGGCGGAGCCAAUCGCAAAAAGCCGCUCUCAGUUCGGAUUGCAGGCUGCAACUCGCCUGCAUGAAGCUGGAACCGCUAGUAAUGCUAUAUCAGAACGAUAGCGUGAAUACGUUCCCGGGCCUUGUACACACC